AGUUCUAAGAAGAAGAAGGAGGACGAGGAGGCCUACAGAUUACCCAAAGAAGAAGAGAAGAAGGUUCCUGGAGAAGACAAGCUAGUGGAUAACCGUGGAUAACAUACAUUCAAUGAACAAUAUUUGAACAUUUUUCCUUCAUAGUUGGACAAAGACUCUGGAGAUGAAGGCUGUUCAACUUUACCUGCGACUCCUGAGUAUGGUAUGCACAAGUGAACACAUUUUUAGCCUUGUAGUUCCUCUUUAGCUAAAGUUAUUACAUUUGAUUGAUACCACUGUCAUUUUAGGGAUAUCAAGUCUGCCACAUUCAGACCAUGAAACUGACACUGAGGACCAACCACCAGAAGUACCUAUAAGCCCUGAGGUUUCCCAUGAGGAAAGUGAUGUUGCAGCCUCUUGUGCUCCACGUGGACCUCAUGAUAUUUCACAAUCAAGAGCAGCAGGUCCCACUCAACCUCAGCUGAAGAUUUUUCCUAAAACGGUCUUUGGUGAGAGGAAGAGAUCAUUCAAUUCUUCAUGGUAUGAUCAGCAUUCAUGGCUUGAAUACUCUGCAAGCCAAGAUUCAGCCUACUGUUAUGCCUGCAGACACUUCUCCCUGCCUAGUGCAUCAGAAUCAGUUUUUACAUCAGAGUCUGGAUUUUCACAUUGGAAAAAGGCUAUGUUCAAAGAUGGUGGUUUCAAGUUGCAUGAGAAAUCUGAGUCACACAUUACUGCCAUGUUGGCUUGGA
Molecule: non-coding RNA, 728 nt
Organism: Nothobranchius furzeri (turquoise killifish)
Lineage: Eukaryota; Metazoa; Chordata; Actinopteri; Cyprinodontiformes; Nothobranchiidae
Source: RefSeq, a predicted model, not a curated record